AUUGCAACCGAUUUAAUUGGUUAAAUGCUACCCAAAGUCUCGGCUUCAUCACUGACCCGAAACGUCUGUGUUAUUGACAAGUCGCGAAGCUACUUUUGGCACCAAUUUGGAGUCGCAAAUUGAUCCGUUCAGCAAAGAAACUUGUAGGUAAGACAGUAGAAAUUCUUAACUUUCAUAUGCAUCUUUUAGAAUAAAAAACUAACGCUGUCUUCGUUGGUUUUUAACGAGUUAAUGUAGGCUCGUGACCAUGCAAAAAUAUUUUCAAAGUGUCCUAAGUGAGUAAGUUGCAUGAGAAGGCUUAUGGAAAAUUCUGAAUUGGUAUUCGGGUUAUUUUCCAUCACAUUUGUAGGUUGUUUAAUUAGAAAAUAUGUAAU
Molecule: long non-coding RNA, 374 nt
Filed under: Carica papaya (papaya)
Lineage: Eukaryota; Viridiplantae; Streptophyta; Magnoliopsida; Brassicales; Caricaceae
Description: long non-coding RNA (CPAP_LNC001917)
Source: RNAcentral